This 662-nucleotide long non-coding RNA is filed under the name Actinidia chinensis (golden kiwifruit). RNAcentral's name for it is "long non-coding RNA (ACHI_LNC009144)". Lineage: Eukaryota; Viridiplantae; Streptophyta; Magnoliopsida; Ericales; Actinidiaceae. The record is from RNAcentral.
CCCACCCCACCAAUAAAAAGGGUUGUAAUUGAGUCCAGCUUCUCAAGGCUAGGUUCAUUCUCUUACUGAUGUUGUGGACAUGUGGUUCUUCUUCAAUGAAUGUGAUGGAUUCUUUUCUGCUAUCGUUGUAAAUGGAGAUGCAAAGGAUCAAGCCAGUCUGCCUUUGUUCAAGUGAGGUCUUGUGCUGGCUGUCCAGGUGUGGUUUCCUUGUUGAUCUUUAGUGCUGAUGUUGCUCAUUGUUGGGGUGGAGUCUGCUUCUGUUCAGCCUCGAAUUGAUGUUGAUGGCUAGCUGCUGGUGUUAUAGCUAUGGUGGAUUCAGUUUGCUGUGGGUUUAGCUGCUGGUAUAAUCAUUGUUGGGGUGUUGGUUUGGUCUAUUCAGAUGUGCGCUUCAGCGUUUUCUUCUAUGCUGUUGUUACUUGGUUAUAUUUGGUGAUUGUUUAGCCCAUUGGUUUCUAGUUUAUGUAAGCUGUAUUUUUUAAAACCUCUAGAGGAGCUACUUGUGGUUCAUCCUGGAUGUGGGUUUUGUUCUGUCUGGCCAUAUGGUCAGACCUAGGUUCUGGUUAGGUUCAUUUGGUUCUUGUUGUUGGUAGGCCAUGUGUCUUUGUGAUUAUCUCUUUGGUAUAUCCGGAGGUCUAUUCUUUUGAUCAAUAUAUUCAAUUUAC